This 1543-nucleotide long non-coding RNA is filed under the name Fukomys damarensis (Damara mole-rat). Its description in RNAcentral is "lncRNA (ENSFDAG00000025103.1)". The record is from RNAcentral. Lineage: Eukaryota; Metazoa; Chordata; Mammalia; Rodentia; Bathyergidae.
CAAUCGCCUAGAGAACUUUAAAUGUGUGUGUAUGCGUUCAAAAAAUAAUGGUAUGGAUCUCACAGAAUGUGAUGUCCUACUAUUGCAACACUUACACUAAUCACCUAUCAUUAUCAAGUGCAGGGUUCAUCAGGCUGUGAAGAUGGACCUUCCGCAGAAUGCUUCUCCAGUCCUUCUCCCAAGACGGCCGCUUCUCUUCCCCAGACCCACCUCCCAGGAGCCAGGCACUGAAAAGAAGACUAUGAGUCCUCCAGGUGGAGGCUGGGAUAAUCUAACUCUGAAAAGAUUCAACAGGCAAGCUGGCGCUCACAUUUUCUGCUGCAGAAGAGUUUCAGCCACUGAACGGUCGGGGCAAAGAGCUUCAUUACCCUGCAAUCCCUGGCACUGAAACACUUGCUGUUUCUAUUUCGGACUGGGGCAUGCUGAGGUCGGCCGAGGUGGUUCUGACCUCGGCCACCUUCCAGCUCUGGAGCUCCUGCCGGGCUGGACCUGCCCUCUCCUUGGAAAGCCCCUCCACCUCAGGAGAGGGCAGGAAGGAAGUCUGGCAAGGCCCAUCCAGCACAGGGUCGCUGCCUGAGGUCUCAUUUCCUUGCUGGCGCUCCUUUCAAAAUUACAUCUCUCCCCUUGAGAGCACAACUUCUUUUUUUAACCUUAAGGCUAACGUGGAAGGAAUGUGUUUGGCUUGCAGUGGUACAGUGGCAUAAACCACCGUGGGGUGACUCACACCCAGGGCUGCGGGCUCACUCAGGCAGGGCUGGGUACGGGAGGAGCAGGAGGCACCUCGCCGCAAGCUGCCACUGUGAUGGGAGACACAGAAAGCCAAGGUCACUCACUGUCAGCCUUUGGCAAGGAGGUGUGUUUGUGUGUUCACGGAGGAGGGGAGGAAAACACAGGAAGGACCGGAGUGGAAGUCAGGUUGAAUGCACAGCUCAGACCCCAGCACUCUCAGAGGUGCCCGGCCCUGCAGGGAGGUGAAGCCCUGUGGGACAGUUCCGAGUAGACAGCCACGGAACUCAGGCUGCUCCUGCCACGACCUCGGAGAUCUGAAUACCGAGCAGGGCUGUAAGAAAGUUGGUGAAAUCCUGGCUCACUUUUCUGCAUGUCGAAGCCUAGCCUGAAAUAGGUCCUGCUUGUUCCUCAGCAAGGAGGCAGGUAAACGCAGCAGGACAGGCGUGGCGCUCUCAGCGCUGAGCCCUGGAUUGUGUCCUUAAACUGCUCCGCUACCUGACACACGUGGCUUAGCCUGUCCAGGUUCAAUCAGCGUCUGAACUGAGCAGAAAGAGAGAAGCAGGUUGUUGGACCUCAGUCAUGCCCAGGGCAGAUCCCCUCACAGCAGUACCCUUCAUUCGGUCCCCACCAAUCCUGGGGAAAGUCCUCAGGUGGGGUGCUCCCCGGGGACAGCCAGGAGGUGCUGUCCUGCUAAAUUGCCUGCGUCCCAAGAACUGGCUGAGAUGGUCAACUGCAUUUACGUCCUGUAGCUGUUAUAACAAAUUAUCACAAACACAGUGGUUUAAAAACCCCAGAAAGUCGUACAGUUCCGGAG